AGAGAAGAUCGGACGGUCGCCGGCCGUGGCAACACGGCGGGAGGAAAGUCCGGGCUCCGCAGGGCAGGGUGCUGGCUAACGGCCAGGGGGGGCGACCCCACGGAAAGUGCCACAGAAACAUACCGCCGCCGCAAGGCGGUAAGGGUGAAACGGUGAGGUAAGAGCUCACCAGCGGCGCGGGUGACCGCACCGGCUAGGCAAACCCCACCCGGAGCAAGGCCAAAUAGGAGAGCGAUCGGACGGCCCGUCCGUGGCUCUCGGGUAAGGCCGCUCGAGACGCCGGGCAACCGGCGUCCUAGAGAAAUGACCGUCACCCUGGGUCACACGCUCGGGGGACAGGACCCGGCUUACAGAUCUUCUCUGGCG
Molecule: RNase P RNA, 366 nt
Filed under: Candidatus Rokuibacteriota bacterium
Lineage: Bacteria; Candidatus Rokuibacteriota
Description: Candidatus Rokubacteria bacterium RNase P RNA component class A
Rfam family: Bacterial RNase P class A
About the family: Ribonuclease P (RNase P) is a ubiquitous endoribonuclease, found in archaea, bacteria and eukarya as well as chloroplasts and mitochondria. Its best characterised activity is the generation of mature 5'-ends of tRNAs by cleaving the 5'-leader elements of precursor-tRNAs.
Source: RNAcentral